UAGGCUUAUCAACACACAUCUCUAAAGCCUAACAAGUAAAAGACAAUCAUAAAAUUCAAAAUUCAAACCCGAAGAAACAAGGAACGCAAUCCUGAGAUGAUGAAUGGAUGAUAAAUCUCAUGCUUAGAAUUAGGUUCCUUACUGCAUUUUACUAACUUCAGCUUAAGUCAACCUCAGGUCAAUAUAAUGAUUCAAGAAGUAAAAGGAAAACAAAAUCACAGAUUUCCCAAACAAAAUCAAUCAGAAAUGGAUCAUCAUCAGCAACAAAUUGCAUAUGGGAAAACUAAAAUCGGCUCAUUGCAUCCAAUUUUUUAGCCCAAAGCAAGCAUCAAAUGCAGGGUAAAGGGCCAUUUCGAUUGUUUGGAUUUAAGCAAAGAUAAGAACGUUAGACCAUAACAUAUGUUUAGACAAUUUCCUAUUCCUAAAUAAAUUGCCAAAACGGAUAAGAAAAUAGAAAAGCAGAAAGGAAAAGGGGAA
This 477-nucleotide unclassified non-coding RNA is filed under the name Hevea brasiliensis (rubber tree). Lineage: Eukaryota; Viridiplantae; Streptophyta; Magnoliopsida; Malpighiales; Euphorbiaceae. The record is from RNAcentral.